RNAcentral lists this small RNA (627 nucleotides) under Rattus norvegicus (Norway rat). RNAcentral describes it as "uncharacterized LOC102555885". Lineage: Eukaryota; Metazoa; Chordata; Mammalia; Rodentia; Muridae. The record is from RNAcentral.
UUCUGAGAACAGAUGUGAUCAUCCUCACCUCCUGUCCUGCUCCUCAGUGAGAUCUUGCAGGAACAUCCAGAAGUUGAAUCCUUUCUAUACAAGAGAAUAAGAUAAUCCUGUGAGCAUAGAAAAACUGUUCCAGUUCUCUAGACAGGGAAGGCACCAUGGAGAGGCAGGCCUGGACAGGCCCUGGCAGCCCCACAUGCUUUCCUGACGCUGGGUCAAGAUGUGAAGACCAGUGUUGGUGGGGAGCUCAGUGGUAGAGCAUGCUCGCCUAACAUGCCUGAGGCCCUGGGUUCAAGUCUCAGCCCUGAAAAUACAUCAAAGAAAAACGAAGAUAAAUUUAUAGGCUCCCAGCAUGGUUCUCUGCAUGGAAAAGCUAAGGUCAGCAUAAAGAACAUGAUUUAUCAGGAGCGAGUCUUCCAAACCUCUGCUUCAUUCCCUGGGACUAUUUUGACUUGGAUGAAGGCAGUUGUGUCAUUAGCAGAUGGUUGUGUCAUUUCGAGCCAUCAGAAAAGAAUUCUGCAUUAUGAAAAGAAAACCUGAAAGUGAUCACCCAUUUUUUAACUGACCUUUUCAAAUUGUGAGAGUGUUUUGACUGAACAAUUAAAACAAAUUCUGUAGAUCUCAUUACUA